Mesocricetus auratus (golden hamster) is the source of this 449-nucleotide non-coding RNA. The record is from the annotation of a RefSeq genome assembly. NCBI's taxonomy places the organism in Eukaryota, Metazoa, Chordata, Mammalia, Rodentia, Cricetidae.
AAUGCAAAUCAGCCUCAAGCUCAGAGUGAAAGUCCAGGCCUAGCUGAGCAGCCCCAUCUCCUUCUCACUCCAGCCUAGAGCAGAGCAUGGCUGUCCUGGUGCUGCUCCUCUGCCUGGUGACCUUUCCAAGCUGUGUCCUGUCACAGGUGCAGCUGAGGGAGUCAGGACCUGGCCUGGUGCAGCCAACACAGACCCUGUCUCUCACCUGCACUGUCUCUGGGUUCUCAUUAUCCGACUAUGAUGUGCACUGGAUCCGCCAGCCUCCAGGAAAGGGGCUUGAGUGGAUGGGAGCCAUAUGGUAUGAUGGAAAAACAUACUAUAAUUCAGCUCUCCAAUCCCGAAUAAGCAUCAGCAGGGACACCUCCAAGAGCCAAGUUUUCUUAAAACUGAACAAUGUGCAAACUGAGGACACAGCCAUGUAUUACUGUACCAGACACACAGUGAGUUAA